This 272-nucleotide unclassified non-coding RNA is filed under the name Scytalidium sp. RNAcentral's name for it is "partial contains 5.8S ribosomal RNA, internal transcribed spacer 2, and large subunit ribosomal RNA". The stretch from base 1 to 52 matches the Rfam family "5.8S ribosomal RNA", at positions 103 to 154 of the family's 154-position model. The record is from RNAcentral. Lineage: Eukaryota; Fungi; Ascomycota; Leotiomycetes.
AACGCACCUUGCGCCUCUUGGUAUUCCGAGAGGCAUGCCUGUUUGAGUGUCUUAUAUAAUCAAUCCCCAUGGGUUUCAUUACCUGGUGGUGGACUUGGACUUGGGUGUCUGCCAUCUGGCUCGCCUCAAAGACGUUAGUGGGAUAAGCUAGCUGCCUGUGGCUCGACGUGAUAAGUUUCGUCGGACCUGGCUCCUUAUGCCCGCUCAUAACCUGCCCUUGGGCACACUGUAUGCUAGACCUCAAAUCAGGUAGGACUACCCGCUGAACUUAA